RNAcentral lists this ribosomal RNA (253 nucleotides) under uncultured bacterium. Its description in RNAcentral is "partial 16S ribosomal RNA". It matches the Rfam family "Bacterial small subunit ribosomal RNA", at positions 524 to 776 of the family's 1533-position model. The record is from RNAcentral.
UACGUAGGGGGCAAGCGUUAUCCGGAUUUACUGGGUGUAAAGGGAGCGUAGACGGCAGAGCAAGUCUGAAGUGAAAGCCCGCGGCCCAACUGCGGGACUGCUUUGGAAACUGCCCGGCCAGAGUGCUGGAGAGGUAAGCGGAAUUCCUAGUGUAGCGGUGAAAUGCGUAGAUAUUAGGAGGAACACCAGUGGCGAAGGCGGCUUACUGGACAGUAACUGACGUUGAGGCUCGAAAGCGUGGGGAGCAAACAGG